RNAcentral lists this long non-coding RNA (1009 nucleotides) under Cyanoderma ruficeps (rufous-capped babbler). RNAcentral's name for it is "lncRNA (ENSCRFG00000010617.1)". The record is from RNAcentral. Lineage: Eukaryota; Metazoa; Chordata; Aves; Passeriformes; Timaliidae.
GCGGCGCCUAUCGGCGGCAGCGCGCGCUGAGCCGCGGGCGCCCGGCGGGCACCGGGAGCGGCUCCCGGGGCGGGCGGCGACCCCCGGCCAGCGAGCGGCCCGCGGCCACCGCCACCCGCCGGCCGGCGCCCGGCACCGCCCGCCUGCCUGGCACCCAUCGCCGACCACCGCCCGCCCGCCGCCCGCGGUGCGGGCGACCCCGGCGCCGUGCAGGAACGUGUGCGUGUUUCCAGCGCUACCACGUUGGGUUGGGAAGCGCUGGGAGAAACUGGCAUGUUGUCCCUCAUCAAUGGUCCUGCGCUGGGAGAAACUGGCAUGUUGUCCCUCAUCAAUGGUCCUCCGUUCCCACUUGGUCGGGGCAUCUGGAACACUGGGCUAGCAGAAACUGACCGGGGCGAGGGAGUAGGUAACACUCGGGAGUUGUUAAUGAUUUUGAAUUCUUGACUACAAAAUGUAUUGGAAUAAAUUAGGGGCGGCUGAGAUCUAUGGAGGGAUUAGCUGGGUGUCUGUGAUUAGAGCAUCUUUCCCCCUUCCUGUAUUAUUAAAUUGCUCCUGCCGUUUUCAAUGACACUUCAGUGCUGUGAUGUAAAUUAUUGAGCAAGGGCAGACCCUUCACCUGUGCUGGAAGGGCCCAAUCCCACAGAGAGCAACUUCCUGCCCCCCUUCCUGGCUUGGCAGCCCCAGGGGCAUCCCCACUCUUGUCCCUGUGCAGUCCCUGGCUGCCCUUCCCCUGGAAAACCCUGUCUUGGGCAGGCAGAGUGUUGCUGUUGGAUUGCAUGGAGCUGCUGUCCUUGCUGCUUCCCAGGGAGCCCCAUGGAUGGGACAGUCCCGUGGGAUUCUGCAGGUGUGAGUGACCUUGGCAAGUGUGGUUCCCUCUCAGCUUUUGCCUUCUUUGCCCUUCUGCACUGAUUUUGGGACCGAUAGGUGCCCAGGUCCUGGGAGGUGUCUCGGAACGGGGUUGUCACCCCCUGUGAUAGUUAUUGGCUGUGCUACACUUGCACCUUCAUCC